AUGUAACACUUCCACCUACCAAUAAGAACUGGGCUCUGGAUUUAGAGGAAUACAAAACACUGAACUUAACCGAGAAAAAAAGGGGAAUGGCUGGACACUGAUAGUCAAAGACGAUUAUUGUAACACCUUCCCAGCAACCUGCAAGUGAAAGUUGAUGGAUGUGUUUUUCAGUUGCAUGGGCUUUUUCGUUAUUAGGUGCACUGCACUAUUGAAAUAAGGACAAUGAGGCGUGGACGUGUAAACCUUGGGUGAAUCAGGCCUAGAACACACCACUGUAUGUCUGAAAGACAUGUACAACCUUCAGUUCUUGACUGCGAAUACAGAGGGCUGAAAACUCCUAUAGCCUGCCCAGCAAAGUAGACAGUGCCAAAAAGGAAAGGAAAGGAGAGUCAUUCAGGCAGUUUCCAUGUCGCAACUCAGGAGAACUGCAGGUCAGUGGGCGACUGCCGAUCCCACCAUCAAGCCAAACCAAUCUUUACACCCAAAGCCUCAAAGACCAGCCCUGCAGGUGUCCGCUUGAGCUCACUGGGUGCCAGGCCAGUAGGCGCUGAUGCAAUGACCCGGCCACUGAUGAUUUCUACAUGUACAUUUAAACCCAUGAAAGUGCCAGAGCCAAUGUGAUGCUCCCUGUGGAAUCUGCAGUGAAGAACAACAACUGCACAGCCAGUACACAAACCUGUGCUCCCCAGCCUGCUCGACUCACCUUGCACAUUAUAUGGUCUUGAAUUUACCAGACAAGCCACUCAGUGAUCCCCUGAACCUUAUUGUUUUAAAGAAAACUUUAAAAAAAUGAUUUAGGUAACUCAAGCACGCAGAUCAGAUUACAAAUAUUCUCGGAAUCAUGACAGUUUUGGUUAUUUAGUGUAGAUCUAAUUUACUAUAGAUCAAAGUUUAAUUUGAACCCCGUACUAACAUAAAAAUAAUUAUGAUUGUUGGAAAAUGUCCAGAACAUUCAUUUAGAGGGGUUAUAGAUAAUGGAAUAAUUAAAUAAAUUAUACCUUCUGUACACUUCCGUUCGCUUUGUAGGUCUCAAGUGUGUUUUUUUUAAAUAAACACAUGUUAUAGCAGUAUUUUGAAUGGAAAAAUUUCUAUCUGGUACCAUAUUUGGUUAAUGAAAGUUCUCAGUUUGCAUGCCUUGCAUUCAGGUUGUCAGCUUACACUUCUCCUCAGCGCUGUAUUUUGGGAUGGAAGCAUAACACCGCCUGCAAGGCAUGUCACUCAUUAGGGGUUGGUUAAUAACAGAAGGAAGAACAAAACAAUUGUAACAGUGUAAAACUAAUGAGUUGAAUGAUGGGGCAGUCAUAUUAUUGUUACUUGCCAGUUUUAUACAUUUUAAAGUAUUGUAUAACUCUCUUAAAAUGUGUCUUUGCCUUUGCAUCCUAUUGUCUGGUUUCAGUGAUCCCUGAUUACCACUGCCUAAUGUAACCUAAAGUAAGUUCAUUCAAGAUUAGUGUUUGAGAAACCAGCCAUUUCAUUAUAGUACUUCUAUAUGCCAUUCUUAUUUAUGGAUUUUGCUAAUACAAAAGGGGCAUCAUUAGAUAGUAGACAAAGAAGUUUUCCUUUUAAUAUUUUGUUACAGUAUCACUAUCACUUUUGGUGUACGGUAAAGUGCUAAAAAAGGGUUAAAGUUAGUAUUAAGUAAAAAGGCUUGAGCUUUGGAUUAAACAAGAGAAACAUGGGAAGUUGAAUUGUAAUGGCAUUUUCUAUCUACUGUAAAUUUAUCAGGCAUUCAGAAAGAAACUUUGCACAGGUUAAUAAUACCUUCUUGAUGCAUUCCUUCUUUUUCUAUUGACUUGAGCAGACCUCCUACUGACUUUUAAUGGCUUAUUAGAGUUAAUUACAUUAAUUGCAAUAUAAUUGAUUUACUAAACACUAUGUAGAAAGCUCAUACAAUUAUGCAAAAAAAGUAAUUACAGAAACUGAUAAAAGAAUUUAAAUCCAACGCAUUUGGUUCCCAUUAUUGUCUAAUAGGUUGCACAUCAAAAAAUAUAGCACCUUUAUUUUAAUUCCUGAGUUGUGACAGAAUCUUUUCAAAUCACCAAACUCGACAGAUCUAGACAGAUGUAUUUCGGAAACAUACUAUUUUCAUCAUUCGUUCUAAUUCGUUAAGCCUACAAAUAUAUAUAAAAAAGAUUAGAAGAAAUAUACACAUUUUAAACACUAUUGCUCCAUUUCAUUCUCAUAUUUAUUGAGUAUUUUAAAAAAUAUAUAUUUAUUGGUUAUUGUAUAUAUUGGGAGGUGGUACUGACCAAUUAAUAAGCAGUAAAGCCACAAUUGAAUCAAUAAUUAAAUAUAAACUAAAAUAAAUAACUGAAAAAAAUGUUUUGAAAUGUAUUUAAUAAUACUGCAAUACAGUUUACAGCCAUAAUUGUACCCCUUAUUAAAUAACUUUUGAGUGCCUUAGGAGCAGAACAAUGUUACGUCCUGAUAUAUUUUGUUUUGGCCUAACUGCUUCUAUAUUACUGUAUUGCUACUAACAAGCUUUUGUAAGAGGAAGCUGCAUCCUUAAUAUAAGGCCUCAUCUUUCAACGACUUCCCUAAGGAAAAAAGUUAGGCAUUCAGAGCAAUAAAUCAAGAUAAGACUAGAGUUGAGGGCACCAUCCACCUUGUAUUCACACCCACAUUAACUGUUAAAUAAAUCAUAACAUCCUGUUCAUCGUGCCGUCGGUAAGGAUGAAUACGUUGUUAUAACUGCAGGACUAAUCACUGGCGUUGCUUUCCAGUUUUUUUGUUUGUAAGAAGCAACUAGCCCAGACCUUUAUUGGUGUGGGUCUUAAAGGAAAGCCUUUUUCCAUUCCAACUACUUCCUGCUCAUAUGAAAAUAUGGGGAAACGAGCACUUAACAGAAGGAUGGAAACACCCUUUUCCAGUCGUGUGCCUGAUUUGUCAGGUGUAUUAUUGGUACCUGGAGGCUUGUUUUGGCUGGAAUUACAUCCCCUGCAGGGGAAGUAUUACAUUUCUGGAAUGCAUUGCAGAGAAAAUAAGAUUUAUAAUUACCAAAUAGUCCACACAAGGAUUUAAGCUAACCACAAAAUGUACUUCCCACAAACUAAUUUCACUAUAAGCUUUCCAAAGUAAAACAUACAGUUCUUCACAUACAGACAUCAAAUGCAGCCUGAUAUUGUUAAAUGUGAAUUCUCUUUUGCCUUCUUUACCUUUAGUUUCCUGAUUUAGUUACCUGAUUUCAAUGUUAGUUUAGUUUUGGUGUUAAUGAGCCAAAGUUAUACAAUACCUUGCUGUGGCAAAAUGCCCGCCCCUUUUAUUAUGUAUGUAUGUAUGUGUUGUUGUUGUUGUUGUUGUUCUUCUUCUUCUUACUAUAUAUAUAAAUUGUAUUUUUGUGCAGACGGACGAAAGAUGUCCAACGUUGUUUGUUGUUCGAGACUGGCAAAAAAGCCGGUCUCAUAAAGUGUAGCUGGUGGGGAUGUGGUUGAAUCCCCAUCCCAAUAAAGCCUGUGGGAAUGUGGCUGGAGUCUUAACAAUGUAAUUGUUUAAGGUAGUUAAGGCUCCAGCCACAAUAUAAAACACCCUCCAGGCUUGGAGGCGAAACUAUAGAGAAAGAGAGAGUGAAUGCUACCGUAUUACAGCAAACAAAGGUACUCGUUUUUUUGACAAUAAUUAUUAGUGUGUGUGUUAUUUUGCUUUGGCCAAUGUGUCCUUUUCUUUUGGUGUGUUUUGUUUAAACUGCUUGUUUAUUUUUGUUUAUUAUUAAAUACAAGUGCAGCAGCACCAU
Long non-coding RNA from Acipenser ruthenus (sterlet), 3730 nucleotides. RefSeq lists it as uncharacterized. The transcript has 4 exons. The record is from RefSeq and is a predicted model, not a curated record. NCBI's taxonomy places the organism in Eukaryota, Metazoa, Chordata, Actinopteri, Acipenseriformes, Acipenseridae.